UUAAAUUUUGGCUUUAACUGAUAUUUAGGUGAGCACAAAUAAACACUUAUACUUGUACAAAGUUGAACAAGUAAACACACGUGUUCUUACGCAUGAGACACAUUCGAACUGAUUUGUAGUACUCUAUGUAAAACACGUGUAUCUACUUAUUUAGUUUUAUAUAAAUUUUAAUGUUUAUUUGAGCACACCCAAAAUGAAAGGAUAUAAAUAUGACAAAUAUUUACGUAAGUAUACUUGUUCCCCUUCAAAAUAGAAAAUUGGACCAAUUUACCGA
RNAcentral lists this long non-coding RNA (274 nucleotides) under Solanum tuberosum (potato). RNAcentral's name for it is "long non-coding RNA (STUB_LNC002656)". Lineage: Eukaryota; Viridiplantae; Streptophyta; Magnoliopsida; Solanales; Solanaceae. The record is from RNAcentral.